RNAcentral lists this ribosomal RNA (230 nucleotides) under uncultured soil bacterium. RNAcentral's name for it is "partial 16S ribosomal RNA". It matches the Rfam family "Bacterial small subunit ribosomal RNA", at positions 26 to 250 of the family's 1533-position model. The record is from RNAcentral.
AGGACGAACGCUGGCGGCGUGCCUAACACAUGCAAGUCGAACGGGUUCCAUCCGGUGGCAACACCGGAGAAGAACUAGUGGCGAACGGGUGAGUAACACGUGAAGAACCUGCCCCGAAGACCGGGAUAAGCCGAGGAAACUUGGUCUAAUACCGGAUACCCCCAUCAGGUCGCAUGGCCAGAUGAGGAAAUGGAUUCCGCUUUGGAGGCUUCGCGGCCUAUCAGCUAGUU